CACUGCACAGCUAUUCUAGCGUUAACCUUUUAAGUUAAAAAUUGAGGGGCAUACCCUCUGCAGCGA
This is a non-coding RNA of Chlorocebus sabaeus (green monkey), 66 nucleotides long. NCBI's taxonomy places the organism in Eukaryota, Metazoa, Chordata, Mammalia, Primates, Cercopithecidae. The record is from Ensembl.